RNAcentral lists this non-coding RNA (104 nucleotides) under Paenibacillus beijingensis. RNAcentral's name for it is "Guanine sequence". It matches the Rfam family "Purine riboswitch aptamer". From Rfam's summary of the family: Riboswitches are metabolite binding domains within certain messenger RNAs that serve as precision sensors for their corresponding targets. Allosteric rearrangement of mRNA structure is mediated by ligand binding, and this results in modulation of gene expression. A class of riboswitches that selectively recognises guanine and becomes saturated at concentrations as low as 5 nM. Lineage: Bacteria; Bacillati; Bacillota; Bacilli; Caryophanales; Paenibacillaceae. The record is from Rfam by way of RNAcentral.
UUUGAAUAGCGCAACAUCUCUUGUAUAAGCUCAUUAAUACGGUUUGAGCGUUUCGACCAGGCAACCCUAAAUUGCCCCAGGCUACAAGAGGCCGUUGUACCGAU